This 253-nucleotide ribosomal RNA is filed under the name uncultured prokaryote. RNAcentral describes it as "partial 16S ribosomal RNA". It matches the Rfam family "Bacterial small subunit ribosomal RNA", at positions 524 to 776 of the family's 1533-position model. The record is from RNAcentral.
UACGGAGGGGGCGAGCGUUGUCCGAAUUUAUUGGGCGUAAAGCGCGUGUAGGCGGGUGAUCAAGCCUGUGGUGAAAGGUUGGGGCUCAACCCCAAGAGUGCCGUGGGGACUGGUCGCCUGGAGGCAGGCAGAGGAGAGCGGAAUUCCUGGUGUAGCGGUGGAAUGCGUAGAGAUCAGGAAGAACACCCGUGGCGAAGGCGGCUCUCUGAGCCUGUCCUGACGCUGAGACGCGAAAGCGUGGGGAGCGAACAGG